Molecule: long non-coding RNA, 1190 nt
Organism: Oxyura jamaicensis (ruddy duck)
Lineage: Eukaryota; Metazoa; Chordata; Aves; Anseriformes; Anatidae
Exons: 2
Source: RefSeq, a predicted model, not a curated record
AGCUUUCUAGCAGCGUGCCCGGAGUCAGACUCGUGCUAACUGCUGUGUAGCGGAGACCUCUGCCUUUCCAUCAGCAGCCCUGACAUUUAAAACCUCUGCUGGUGAGACGUUGCUUCCCUCUAAGGCUGCAUCGGGCCAAGAAAAGUUGCCGAGAUUUGGCUCCUCUACGAUCCCAGUGUGAACACAUGUUGGGAAUGCUCAUGGAAAGAGGGAAUAGGAAGGGGAAAUGGAGAUACUGCAGGAAGAAGAUAGGAAGGUGGAGAAAUGUUUUUCUCCUCCCUUCCUCUCCUCAUCUCCUUGAUAAUGUUCUUUUUUCUCUCCACCUUUAAACUUUGCAACUUUCAAUUAGUAACAUUUUCUUACAGCAGUCGCUGAUGCUGUUACAAAUGUACCCUUUCUUGUGGAGUCAGCUCUUACUAGCAUUUGCCAGGAUGUAUUGCUUUGGAGUAUGGCUGAUGCAGCAGGCUGAAGAAGUGGGGGACUAACAGCAGCCCUACCAGGGAGGUUGGAGACUCUGGGCUCCCCCCAGCUGUCCUUGGAGUGAAUGGAUUUCCAAAACAGAGGAUAGAAACGACAUGUAUUGAGACUCACUUUUAUUCAACUCAGCCCGUCUUCUAAAAAAGGAAGAAUUGUCAACAGCCGCAAGGUCAACCCUGGAGUUUUCUGCGCUUCAUUCUGGCAUACAGCUUGUAUUACCAUGUAGUAUCUGUGUAACUUUUAUGGCACUUGAACCAUUAGUCCAUGUUUUUAUACUGACAAGCUUAUAGAUUGAGAUGUGACAAACUAAGCAUGAUAAAGUUGCAGAUCAUAUUUUAAAGGUAUUUUAAGGCAUAUAUACAAGACAUUAGGAAGUUCAAUUUUAAUUUUGAGUUCUGGUUCUGUGUGUACUAAUCAUUACUGUUUGUAUGAAUUGCCUUUUAAUUUACUUGUAAGAGAAAUGCUAAAUUGGCUCUUCUGGGUUAUGUAGCUUAAUUUGUACUCUGCCUGCGGAGUUAGGUCCAGAGCUAAUCCAUUUGAGUACCUAACUUUAACCAGGUCUUUAACUCUUUUGAGCCUUUCGUGAAAGUAUUCAAGUAUUUCCUUUGUAUUUCUGUUGGUUUCCAUGUAUUCUCUUUGUACAGCUUGGUUUUGGUAAAUGGUAUCAGUGAAUGUUAGUAAAAAAUAAAUAAAAAAGUCUCCUGUUAUGCAAA